AACCUGGUUGAUCCUGCCAGUAGUCAUACGCUUGUCUCAAAGAUUAAGCCAUGCAUGUCUAAGUAUAAACGACUCUAUACUGUGAAACUGCGUACGGCUCAUUAAACCAGUUAUAGUUUAUUUGAUAUUCCCCUACUACUCGGAUACCCGUAGUAAUUCUAGAGCUAAUACGUGCGUCAAGCGGCAUAUGUCGCGUCAUUAUUAGAUAGAAACCAAUGCGCUUUCGGGCGGAAUUGUGGUGAGUCAUGAUAAUUCAGCGGAUCGCAUGGCCUCGCGCCGGCGAUGGAUCAUUCAAGUUUCUGCCCCUAUCAGCUUUGGAUGGUAGGGUAUUGGCCUACCAUGGCUUUAACGGGUAACGGAGAAUUAGGGUUCGAU
RNAcentral lists this ribosomal RNA (375 nucleotides) under uncultured marine eukaryote. Its description in RNAcentral is "SSU rRNA". It matches the Rfam family "Eukaryotic small subunit ribosomal RNA", at positions 1 to 381 of the family's 1831-position model. The record is from RNAcentral.